Molecule: long non-coding RNA, 1612 nt
Filed under: Malus domestica (apple)
Lineage: Eukaryota; Viridiplantae; Streptophyta; Magnoliopsida; Rosales; Rosaceae
Description: long non-coding RNA (MDOM_LNC006720)
Source: RNAcentral
GUAAAAAUAUGCUCCAAUUAACCCAUAUCAUGAGAUUUGUAGCAUUACUCUAUUACACAAUGGCAAAAAUUUGUAGUCCUAGUCUAAGCAAACACAAAUCUGGUGAACAGUACUGUUUUUCUUAUCCUGCUUCUUAGUCCGAGACUGCACCAAACGCUUCACUAAGUUAGUCCAGCUUAGUCCAGUCUAAGCCAGUCCAGCUUAGUCCCGGCAGCUAGUCCAGUCCAAGACAGUCCGGCGCAACAAACGCACCCUUAGGGUGUGUUUGUUUGCCAUCGUUAGAUUUCACUGGAUUGGACUAGCUUAAGUGGGAUUAUUGUCCGGUGUUUGGCAUGAGCAAGGAUUGCUAUUAAUGAGACUAAGUCGGACUCGUUUCGACUAACCGCCUCACUAAGGGUCGCUAUCUAAUCCGGAGCUGCAACACGGUAUUAGCUAGGAUUACCAUCCUUCUUCCCUUCGCCCCACUUUCGGUAAACUCUUCCUCCUGAAACAAUGUCCUCUCUCUCUCUCCUUCUCCCUUUUGUCCUUCUUGCCUGGGUUUGGUCUUUGCUUUUCGAGUCACCGAUUGAUUUCUAGGUUGGGUUUUUCGAGUUGUCGUCCAAAGACGGGAAGGGUGCAUAUGUUCAUACAAAUUGAAGAAAUUGAAUUGCAGUAAUGAAAGAAAACAGAAAUUUUAGAAGAAAAUCCAACUUAGUUAGGCGCGAUCUGGAGAGAGAGAGAGAGAGAAGAGAGAGAGAGAGAGAGAGAAAUUGUCUGGAUUGGGUUUGUGCAGUUGGAGUGGAAGUGAGGAAAGUGGUUUGUCUAGGUUUCACAAACAACAAUAUCUUUUCUUUUUUUCAAUUUUUUUUUGUCUUUCACAUUUAUAAAUUCUGAAAAAAGAAAGGAUUUUCCUUUACAAUUUUUAUUUAUAGAGUGCAUUUUAGUUUUUUAGACAAAAAAGUGAAGUUUUCAUAAUUAACCCAUAUCAUGAGAUUUGUAGCAUUACUCUAUUACACAAUGGCAAAAAUUUGUAGUCCUAGUCUAAGCAAACACAAAUCUGGUGAACAGUACUGUUUUUAUUAUCCUGCUUCUUAGUCCGAUACUGCACCAAACACUUCACUAAGUUAGUCCAGCUUAGUCUAGUCUAAGCCUGCCCAACUUAGUCCCUGCCGCUAGUCCAGUCCGAGACAGUCCGGCGCAACAAACGCACCCUUAGUGUGUUGAGAUGGCACAUUAUGGGCCCCUACUGCAAAAUUAUGAUGUCAUGUAGAUUAGAGAGUUUAUUUUUAAUUUCCCUCGUUUUACCAAAAACAAAAGUUUAUUUUUAAUUUAGGAAAAAUGAAAUGGUGACUGGGAAUUGAAGCAGCUGCUGCCCCAGCAACCUUAACCAGUCUUCUUCUUCCUUGGAUCGUCAUUCAUUCUCCUGGGUAAUUGAUUCGACCUCUGACCUCAAGUCAUAUACCUGUGCUUCAGUCUCUUUGCGUCUUCAAAAACCUAAAUUCUCGAAACCACAGUGCAAACCCUAUCAACAAUGGCAAAGGCAUCCUCCGUCGUCGCCCUCAAGGCAGUCCUCUUCGCUGUCCUCUCGGCUGCCCAGGAGGCUCCGGCUACCAGCCCAGUCUCCCCCGUAUCC